Molecule: non-coding RNA, 74 nt
Organism: Ciona savignyi (Pacific transparent sea squirt)
Lineage: Eukaryota; Metazoa; Chordata; Ascidiacea; Phlebobranchia; Cionidae
Source: Rfam
GUCUCUAUGGCGCAAUUGGUUAGCGCGUUCGGCUGUUAACCGAAAGGUUGCUGGUUCAAGCCCAGCCAGGGACG